UCGGAGGCCCCGAGCUCUGCAGGAGCGAAUCCUUUACCCUGAGUCCUACAGGCUGUAAAAUGCAGAUUGGGACCCCGUUGCUCGUCAUCAAAAAGUCAAGAACUGAUUAAAGAAGACAAUUUAUGUGACGCAAACAGACUAACACUUCCUGACGAGAACUGAAAAAUGAGGCAAAGGCAGGAAGCUUUUAUAGGGUAAAGAAUGAAGACUGAGGAAAAGGAAAAGUAGAAAAUACCUGACUGGCAGGGGCCAACACAGCCAACCUUGUUUGGAGUGAAAAGAAACAAGGAAAUAAGUAUAGAACCCAGAGUUGGCUUGGCGUUGGCAGAUUUUUCUAACUAAAUAUACUGUUUCUAGUCGAGCGGAGCCCUUCCAGGAAGUCGUAAGUUCAGUUUGCUGACGUCACACCUCCUGCAGGAGCCGCUCCAGCUUGGGCCUGCAAAUUAUUUCAACACUGGUGAGUACCCUUUUUUUAAGAAAAAGUUUCUCUAGGGCCCGUGCACUCCACACGGAGUCAUGCUGGUGUCUCCUAGGAUGGAUGUGACACAGUGCUUCUGCAAUUCCAGUCAGGGUUUUGCCGCAGAUCCAGGCAGAUUUGCUAUGGGGACAUGGGACCAGACCAAGGGUACAAGACUCUAAAAACUAAAAAAGAAACAAGAAACUGAAUUUUCACAGAAAUGGAUUUUCCAAAGUCAUAUUCUCUUAGCUAUGCUCUUUAAUUUUGUUCACUACCUAUAGCAGUUGUUUUAUUAAAUGACAUUAAAACCUUAACUUGAU
This 777-nucleotide long non-coding RNA is filed under the name Ursus maritimus (polar bear). RNAcentral describes it as "lncRNA (ENSUMAG00000025297.1)". Lineage: Eukaryota; Metazoa; Chordata; Mammalia; Carnivora; Ursidae. The record is from RNAcentral.